AAUCUGAAUUACUUUUCCAAAACACUCGGACUCUCCGCAAAGAACUUGGUAUCAAAAAGCUUCAUUACAGCAUUGGGUUUUAACAUGUUAAGAAACGUUGGGAGCGUGCAACUCAUAUUAUAGUAAUGGUGGAACGUUUCUCUCCAGUUUUCAUUCCACAGCUUCUCCCCCGCUACUUGCGAAUAUGUCCCAGAGGAAAAAUUGCCAGCAAUUGGGAAUAACAGUUCAACGCGAUCCGAUGGCUUGAGGAUUGCAUAUCAGCAAGCCUUUUCAAAGAUCGUUUAGCCUUGGGUUUCGAAAGAAGUAAAUAACACCCAUUUCAACCGAAUACAAACCUCCUUUUUCUGAGCCUCAGGACUUCA
RNAcentral lists this small RNA (362 nucleotides) under Histoplasma ohiense. RNAcentral's name for it is "hypothetical lncRNA". Lineage: Eukaryota; Fungi; Ascomycota; Eurotiomycetes; Onygenales; Ajellomycetaceae. The record is from RNAcentral.